CAGCAGCCACGGUAAUACGUAGGUCCCGAGCGUUGUCCGGAUUUAUUGGGCGUAAAGCGAGCGCAGGCGGUUAGAUAAGUCUGAAGUUAAAGGCUGUGGCUUAACCAUAGUACGCUUUGGAAACUGUUUAACUUGAGUGCAAGAGGGGAGAGUGGAAUUCCAUGUGUAGCGGUGAAAUGCGUAGAUAUAUGGAGGAACACCGGUGGCGAAAGCGGCUCUCUGGCUUGCAACUGACGCUGAGGCUCGAAAGCGUGGGGAGCAAACAGGAUUAGAUACCCCAGUAGUCCCUGUCUCUUAUACC
Molecule: ribosomal RNA, 301 nt
Filed under: uncultured bacterium
Lineage: Bacteria
Description: partial 16S ribosomal RNA
Rfam family: Bacterial small subunit ribosomal RNA
Source: RNAcentral